This is a long non-coding RNA of Mesocricetus auratus (golden hamster), 5218 nucleotides long. RefSeq lists it as uncharacterized. The transcript has 4 exons. Lineage: Eukaryota; Metazoa; Chordata; Mammalia; Rodentia; Cricetidae. The record is from RefSeq and is a predicted model, not a curated record.
AGUGGGGACACUGAAGUUACAGUGUGGCUUGUCCAAGUUUACUUUUGGAAUGCUGACAUUUCCCUGAGAAGUCUUAAUGUUCCAUCUUUAGCUGCACAAAAGUCUGAAUAUAACCCACACAUUUCUGGUUUCUGUGAUUUCCUACACUCUUAACACUGAGCCAAAUUAUGAACCAAAUGACGAAAGUUUGAUUUGGGACCAAAUGCCUCAACUCACCUGGUCGGCAAUCUCCUGGACUUCUGGUGUGGCAGGUCUGGCCUCCGACAAGCCUCCUGGGAUCAUUCUGGUGGGAUACGACAGCAUUGCUAAAUGGAAGCUGGCUGUGGUGAUGUAGGCCUAGAGUCACAGCUGCAGGAGGAUUGAGAAUCUGAGACCAACUUGGGCUAUGUGAAUCUUCAUGGUUGAUAAUUUCUAGAGCAGUAAUAUUUAAAGACAACUUUGGAAGGUGAUUGUGUCAUGAAGAAGAAUCUGUGUCCUUACAAAGGGGGACUUAGAGAAACUCCUUGCUCCUCCCACUGUGAUGACCAGUGAGAAGAUGGUCAUCUAUGAACCAGGAAGCCGGCUGCUACCAGAUGUUGAAUCUGCCAGAACCUUGCUCUUGGGUGUCCUAGCCUCCAGAAAUGUUAAGUAUAUGCCUCACCCCUCAUCAAGGAAACAUCUGCUUGCACAGACAGAGGCCACUGAGAGAAAACCACACUGAUCAGAAGGAAGAGAACAAGUGACCUUGUGGUGCUCAGCCCAACUGACUCAUCUAUGACACAAUUCCUGUACCUAAGGCUCAGCAGACAGAGUGUAACAACCAGAGGAACAUUGCUAUGAGACUGUAUUUCCUAGAAAUGACAGGGAAGUUUUCCCCCAUGAUACCCUAACAAUAUGGCUGCAUAAACAACACCAAUAGACAUGCUAACAUAGAAGGGGAAAUCUCACUGGGCCCCAUCUGUAGAAAAAGAACUGCAUAGAACUAAGGAAUAUUGAGAGUGGGACAGUCUUCCCCAGGGAAGAACCCUUAAAUUGCUUAUCCAAUGUCAAAUACUCAGCCCUGAAAUCAUAUAUAUAUAUAUAUAUAUAUACAUACAUAUAUAUAAUAAAUCACAUAUAUAUGUAUAUAUAUAUGCAACAUUAUAUAAACUGAGCAGGUUGUAUUUAUACACUUAGGAAUACAUAUGUGUUUGUGUGUGUGUGUGCGUGCAUGUGCGUGUGUGUGUGUGUGUGUGUGUGUGUGUGUGUAACAACAAUUGAAGAAAUUGAAGCCAUGAGUUUGGCAGAGAGCAAAGGAGUUAGAUAAAGGUGAAAGGUUGUAGGAAGAAAAUGGAAGGGAGAAAUGAUGUAACUAUUUUAAUUAAAAACAUCCUGUUCAAUAAAGAAGCUUUUCUUAGUUAUGGAUAGAAUAACAAUACCAAAAUCCAAUAAGAAUACAGACAUUUACUAAUAUUUUUACUGUAUGGUACAGUGGAGGGAUGGAAAACACAAUUUUCAAUGACUGUAGUGUUCACUGCUUUUUAAAGCCACAAGAAAUACAUUAAAAGUUUUGAUCUUAUAUUGAACUGCAAAGAAGUCAGAACAGAACCAAAGGCUGGAACUCAUGCAAAUCAUGUCUUCUGACCACAGUGUGGUGAAGCUAGACCUUGGGAAACUAGAGGCAACACAUCUGAAAACUCUAAAUGUUUACAUACACAAAAUGCAGUUGUAAAAAUCCCACAGGUAAUACAAGAAAUCACAAGGGAACUUAGAAAAUAUUUCAAAGUGAGUAAUAAUGAAAAUGCUUCAUAACACACCUUUUGGAUACAGCUAAGGCAGGUUUUUCUGUGUGUGUGGGGGAAUGACAGCCUUAAGUAGAAUAGUAAAGAAUGCCUGAAAAUAAAUAGAUUCACCAAUCUUAAGAUGUUAGAAAAAGAAUAACUGUGUAGAAAAGAGAAAGUGGAAGGGAAGAGACUCGGUACAAAAAAGGGGGGCUGUUGCAGUGAUAAACCUGAACAUGAGGUUCUUAGACCUUUGAAAUUUUUUGGAGUGUGUGUGGAAGAGUUUAGAACUUCAGUCUAGGAGAGACCCCACACGUUGUAAGCAGAACUCAAUAAAUCAUUCUGGUGAGAUUUGAGAAGACAAAAUUUCAAAGAGAAAAUGCCUAAAAUAGAGGUCCUGCUCAUGAGGCUUUAGAAAGAAAGUAACAAGGGGCCCAUUGGCUAGAAGUAAUAUGUGCCGUAUUCUGGCAAAGACUCUGGCUGCAUUCUGUCCAUGUCCUAAGAACUUGAGUGGUCUCAUUUGUUUGGAAAAGGAGCUAUCUAGACAGAAUGACACUAAGAUUAUGUCAUGGCUUCUGCUUACUGUUCUUAGUUUAUAGUCAGAAGAGCAAUGAAUGGAGUAGAAAAAGGAAAAAUGUGGAAUUUGGGGCUGGUGGAGUGAGAUUAAAGUUUCAGAUAAUGCAGGAACUGAGAAAGAAGUUGCAACUGCUCAAGAAAUGAGGCCCCAACUGAAGGGAAACCUCGUGCUUUUUGUGAUUUUUGUGCUGUGUGAUGAGGUAAUAGAAAGGAAGUCUCAAGGGCAAAAUCCCACCCAUCAAAGUUUCCAUCUUGUGAAGCUGCAAAUGCUUUUGAAUGGAUAGAGUUUAAGGGGACAAUACUGCUGGGGGUCUUCCUCCAAAAUCCCACAAGAAAGAAAACAAUAAACUUGGAAAAUGUUUUCUGGGACCAGCACAUGGAGACUAUGUAAUCUAAAGGAGUUAAACCACGUCUACUGGCGGCAGAACUUGGGAGCAUUGUGCAUAUAGUUUCACAGGCAUGAAAGAGUUAAGGAUGAGGGGUCAUGGUAGUUUGUGCUGGGUUUCUUGAAGGCCACUGGGCCAGGGAAUGUGUGCCAGGUUCAGAGCCACUCUAAGGAGGCUCUCAGGGGACAUUUUGUAAAGUUGUGAAGAUGAAGUUUAGGAUUAAAUAGAGACCCCAGAAUGUCAGAGAUGCCAGGGACAUGGGACAUCUGCUGCAGAAAGCUGCAGGCAUGGAGCAGAGCCAGCCCAGGACAGAGGUUAUAUGUGCUGCAGGAGACAGAGAUAGGGAGACAGGGCUCCCCAGACCCUUUGGAUUCCAGAUGAUCUCAUCACAAGCCCCAGAUGAUAAACAUGGACCUGCAGGAUUUGUUGUUUGUCCUGCUGGGUUUUGGACUUACCAUUUCUUCCUAUGUCCCUCCUUUUCCCUGUUGGAAUUGGGAGUUUAUUUCAUGCCAUGGUAUAUAUUGGAGGUGUGUGGCUUCUAUUUUAUUUCAUAAGAGAUCGCAGUUAAGAGUUUGCCUUGAGUCUCAGUUGACAAUUGAACUUUGGGCUGCUAAACAUUGUUGGAACUGCUAAAAACUGUGGGAACUUUUGCAGUUGGGCUGAAUGCAAUUUUCACAUUAUGAGAUGGCCAUUGGCCUGUGAGGACAGAGGAUAGGUGGCCAUGGUGUAAAAGUGAUGUGUUUGAGCAUCGAGUUGGCAAGAGAUAGAUUUGUGAUGGUGCAUAUUGUCAGCUUGACAAGAUCUAGCAUCACCUAGGUGACAAAAUUCUAUGAAUGUUCAUGAGGGAGCUUCUAAAUUGGGUCAACUGACCCAUACUAAAGGGUGGCACCAUCCCAUUUGUUAGAGACUGACUGAAUAAAGCAGAGAAAGCAAGCAGAGCACCAGAACCCAUCACUCUGCCUCUGGAUUACGGAUGCAAUGCAACCAGUUGCUUUGUAUUUCUGCUGCCAUGUCUUCCUGUACCGAUAGACGGAAACCUCAAACUAUGAAUCAGGAUAGUCCCUCCGUCCCUCCCUCUGUCCCUCCCUCCAUCCCUCCCUCCCUCGAAUUACCUUUGUGAGGUACUUUGUCACAGCGAUGAGAAAGUAACCAAUACAGAAAGAAAUAAUAAAUAACACACGCAAAAAUUAAUAAGUGGGAAACAUAUAUAAUGGAGAGAGAGCAACAAAACCAAAAGAUCAUAAUUUGAAAAGACCAACAAAUUGAGAAUGUUUUGCUGGGAUUAAGGGCAUAUAUGACAGAGAGAUUAAGGAGAAAAGAUUGAAAAGUAGAAAUACCUAAGAAAAAGGAGAUAUUACUACAGAUCUUACCUGCAUUAAAGUGAUAUCAAGAUUGUGUGAACGAUUUUAUUUCAAUAUACUUGAAAAUUAAGAUAAAACAGAAAUGUUCCUAGAAAAAACAACAACUAAAAAUGAUUCAAAAAGAAAAAACUUUGAAUAAUCUUAUGCUACUAAAGAAAAUGAAUCAAUAUUCAAAAACUUUCCUGAAAAGGAAACCCUAUGUAGAGGCGGGUUGGUCAGAGGUCUAACAACUACUCAAUGCAGAAUCCAGAAUGACUCAAAGUCUUCCUGAAAGUACAAAGAGAUAUCAAUGCUCAUAACUCACUACUGGAAGCAAUUGCAUCAUUGAUAUCAAAACUGCACCAAUACGGAAUAGAGGAAGGGAAAUUACCAAAUAAUCUCUCUUGAAAUGGAUGCAAAAACCUGAAACCAAGUCCAAAAACACAGAAAAAGGAUAAAGACCAAGUUGACUUUAUUUCAUAAAGUUGAAGGACUUCAGGAACCUAAUAUGAUUUAUCACCUUUUCAGAAUGACAUAAAAAAUUUAAAAUUACAGAAAACUUGUUCACAUUCAAUGUUGAAUUAUGAUAACCACAUGAAGCUCUUCAACGAGAAAUGAAAUAAGCUUAAUAUGGUAAACACCAUCUGUAAGGGCCCCUCUUCCAUGCAUGACGGUGAACAUGGGAAGCAUUUAUUUGAAAGCAAAGAGAAGCCAAUACUCCAUCCUUUCUAAUCAGGACUGUAGUAGGAAUCCUAGGAAAUGGAAUAAGUGAGGAUUAAGAAGGAAAAAAUGAAGCAAUCAAUCACCAUCUUCUGUGACAUGUGCCACACACACAGAUAUCUCUCACACUUGUGUGAGACAUCUCUCACACAAGUAAAUCAGAUAAACUAAAAACACAAAUAAAAAAAUCAUUAAACUGGGAGCAGACCCUUCUUAGUAUGGGGCCAUCGGCAACUGUGUCAGAUAGUAAUUCAAGAGCAUGAUUGGAAUGGAUACAGUCUGAAGAUGCUAUGAAAUGUAUCUCAUAACAUCAUUUGUAGUCUAUGAGGAAAUGGGAAAACAGGGUCUGAUUCUGUUUAUAUGACACUGGAAACUGGAAACUGGGCAGAUUAAACCAUUGUUCAGGGUGGCUGCACAGGCUGUAAAACAGACUAAACAAGGAGUAUCACAAAAACAA